RNAcentral lists this transfer RNA (73 nucleotides) under Micromonas commoda. Its description in RNAcentral is "tRNA-Glu (CTC) (tRNA-Glu-CTC-1-1)". It matches the Rfam family "tRNA". Rfam says of the family: Transfer RNA (tRNA) molecules are approximately 80 nucleotides in length. The record is from Rfam by way of RNAcentral. Lineage: Eukaryota; Viridiplantae; Chlorophyta; Mamiellophyceae; Mamiellales; Mamiellaceae.
UCCCCCGUAGUCUAGUUGGUUAGGAUACGAGACUCUCACUCUCGAGGCCCGGGUUCGAUUCCCGGCGGGGGAA